Molecule: microRNA precursor, 104 nt
Filed under: Marmota monax (woodchuck)
Lineage: Eukaryota; Metazoa; Chordata; Mammalia; Rodentia; Sciuridae
Source: RNAcentral
AGUGGUAUAUCCUGGGUCAAAUGGUGGUUCCAUUCCAAGUUUUCUGAGGAAUUGCCAUACAGUUUUCCAAAGUGGUUGUACCAAUUUGCAGUCCCACCAGCAAU